CCCCCCGCCCCUCGAGAUGAGGGUCUGAGGUAUUUUUUUGCGGCGCUUAACUGCUCGGCGAAAAACCCUACACACAGUGUCUUUUUGAUACAGAACUCUGGCUUUGGUUUGGCCUAGAGAUAGGGUGGGCCAGAGGUCUAACAAAACACGAUUUAAUUUUUUUUACAGACAGUCAAAUUUUGAAUUAAUCUUCAAAACUUUCAACACCGGAUCUCUUGGUUCUCGCAUCGCUCAAGAAGGCAUGCCAAUGCGAUAAGUAAUAUGAAUUGCGGAUUUUCGUGAAUCAUCUAAUCUUUGAACGCACAUUGCGCCCUCUGGCAUUCCAGAGGGCAUGCCUGUUUGAGCGUCAUUUCUCUCUCAAACCCCCGGGUUUGGUAUUGAGGGAUACUCUUAGACUGACUAGGCGUUUGCAAGAAAAUAAUUGGCGUGGUGAGAACUGGCUAGCGCUGCCGACCUCUCAAUCAAUUAGGUUUAACCAACCCGUUGCAUGAAGUCGCGGGAUAUUUUGUGGUAUUGUUGGCCCGGCCUUACACCCACCAAACAAGUUUGACCUCCAUUCCGGUAGGAAUACCCGCUGAACUUUGGCAUAUCUUUUACCGGCAAGAA
RNAcentral lists this ribosomal RNA (606 nucleotides) under Meyerozyma guilliermondii. RNAcentral's name for it is "eukaryotic LSU rRNA". The stretch from base 196 to 349 matches the Rfam family "5.8S ribosomal RNA". Lineage: Eukaryota; Fungi; Ascomycota; Pichiomycetes; Serinales; Debaryomycetaceae. The record is from RNAcentral.